Long non-coding RNA from Solanum dulcamara, 633 nucleotides. RefSeq lists it as uncharacterized. The record is from RefSeq and is a predicted model, not a curated record. The transcript has 3 exons. Lineage: Eukaryota; Viridiplantae; Streptophyta; Magnoliopsida; Solanales; Solanaceae.
GGCAAAAUUAGAAUUUCUCAUGUGAAAAUACUAUAAAAGGUUGAGGGCAAAAUUGGAAUUUCAACUUGGAAAUAUUAGAAAAGAUUUGGGGCAAAGUUGGAAUUUCUCAUGAAGUCCUUUAAAUCAUCAACUCUUAGAACUUUCAAGACAAUUCAAGAAAGAAGAAAAAAAACAAAGGAAAAGAAAAUAAGGGGAAAAUCGAUCAAGGAAAAAAAAUAGGGAGAAAAUUGAAAUCUUGCUCCAAAAAUUAUUUUCUCCUAGUAUUCCUACUAAGUCAAGGGUGCUCUACAACAUGGUGUAGUUGUUUUGGAAGUUUGGAGACUUGUUUAGUUGAUUUGGAGAUUUGGGGAAGUGAAAGAAAAGAUUUUGGAGGAAACGGGAAUUGAACUUGGACAACCGUAAAAGGCCAAAAAGGUAUCGAAGUUCGAUUUGCUGAUCCAUCUGUUUAGGAUAUUUGCUGCGUCGUUGACAGUGCUCCUUUGUUUGGAGCUUGUAUUUUGGUACUGACUUUAUCUCUGUAUAUUUGGAUAUUUUGGUCAGGGGUACGACGGGGCCCUGUCCCGUCAUAUGACUAUGCUAUCAUCUAUAGAGGUCUGUAGACAGAUUUAUGUUGUGGGUUUUGUAUAUAUGAUU